This 875-nucleotide small RNA is filed under the name Arabidopsis thaliana (thale cress). Its description in RNAcentral is "ATSL262570". The record is from RNAcentral. Lineage: Eukaryota; Viridiplantae; Streptophyta; Magnoliopsida; Brassicales; Brassicaceae.
GGCAGAUAAAUGAUGAAGAUUGGGAUUAGAAUUCAAUUAGAAGAAUAGUUAAACAAAUACUUAUAUGCUUUUGGUUUUGGCAAAUAUGUAAUUUUUUUGUUUGAUUGCUUUUUAUCUCAUAAAUGUUUCUUUCAUUGUUGUGUUUAGUGUCUAGCUACAUCAAGAUUCUCACCGUAGUUUUUAGUUGAACUAUGUUUUGUGUAGUUAAAGAACAUUGUAUAAGGACUAGGGGAUGAUGAUGAGAUUGCAGCUUAUAAAAGCCUAUUCGGUAACAAUGCAAUAAACAAAAUAUUGUACAUAUGGUCUGAUCUAACUUUUUUUUUAUUAUGUUUAGAGGUUAGUCAGUAUUUUCUUUAACUAUCAUUUUUGAAAUACUCUUUUUGUAAAGGGUGAUUUAGCUGAAUAACCAUAUUUGAUAAACAAAUUAAGAAUAUAGCACCAUAUGUAUAAAAAUUAAGAAAAUAGCAUGUAAGGAUAAGGAAAAGAUAAUUUUAGUGUUGAAUUGGAGGUGAGAUAAUUUAGUAACACUUAGUUUAGUUUUUCACCUAUUUGUUUUUUUUUUGCUAUAUAUCUUUUCCAAAAAAUAGAUUCUAAUUAUAAAAUUUAUUAGAAAAAACCCUAUGUUUUUUUCUACAUACAAAAUAGUUUGAAUUUUUAAAAUCGGAUUUAAAUUUAUAAAAUAGUAAAUAGUGUUUGUAAGUAAAAACAUGUAUUAUUUUGGAUAGAAAUAAAAUGUUAUACUAUACUAUUUUGGAUGUUUAGAAAAACUAUACCCUAAGAUACAACCUUGGCAACCCAAGCAACCAGAUAACAUAAGUGGUAUCUGAAAAAUCUACUUUGUCCUUCUCGUUUGUUUGUUAUGUGAUACAAAAAAA